UACGUAGGGUGCGAGCGUUGUCCGGAAUUAUUGGGCGUAAAGAGCUUGUAGGCGGUUUGUCGCGUCUGCCGUGAAAAUCCGGGGCUCAACCCCGGACUUGCGGUGGGUACGGGCAGACUAGAGUGUGGUAGGGGAGACUGGAAUUCCUGGUGUAGCGGUGAAAUGCGCAGAUAUCAGGAGGAACACCGAUGGCGAAGGCAGGUAGCUGGGAGUGUGCCGACGCUGAGACACGAAAGCCAGGGGAGCGAACGGG
This 253-nucleotide ribosomal RNA is filed under the name uncultured bacterium. RNAcentral's name for it is "partial 16S ribosomal RNA". It matches the Rfam family "Bacterial small subunit ribosomal RNA", at positions 524 to 776 of the family's 1533-position model. The record is from RNAcentral.